Molecule: ribosomal RNA, 253 nt
Filed under: uncultured bacterium
Lineage: Bacteria
Description: partial 16S ribosomal RNA
Rfam family: Bacterial small subunit ribosomal RNA
Source: RNAcentral
UACGUAGGGUGCAAGCGUUGUCCGGAUUUAUUGGGCGUAAAGAGCUCGUAGGCGGUCUGUCGCGUCGGAUGUGAAAACCCAGGGCUCAACCCUGGGCCUGCAUUCGAUACGGGCAGACUAGAGUGUGGCAGGGGAGACUGGAAUUCCUGGUGUAGCGGUGAAAUGCGCAGAUAUCAGGAGGAACACCGGUGGCGAAGGCGGGUCUCUGGGCCAAUACUGACGCUCAGGCACGAAAGCGUGGGGAGCAAACAGG